This 26-nucleotide unclassified non-coding RNA is filed under the name Mus musculus (house mouse). RNAcentral describes it as "oocyte_clustered_small_RNA12125". The record is from RNAcentral. Lineage: Eukaryota; Metazoa; Chordata; Mammalia; Rodentia; Muridae.
UUAUGCUGGUUAGCUGGAGCUAAGAA